RNAcentral lists this long non-coding RNA (1075 nucleotides) under Homo sapiens (human). RNAcentral's name for it is "non-protein coding lnc-FRG2-3:1". Lineage: Eukaryota; Metazoa; Chordata; Mammalia; Primates; Hominidae. The record is from RNAcentral.
AGCUGUAACACCGUGAAGGUCUGCACCUUCAUUCCUGAAGCCAGUUAGACCACAAACCCACCAGAAGGAAGAAACUCUGGACCCAUCUGAACAUCUGAAUGAACAAACUCUGGACACACCAUCUUUAGGAACUGUAACACUCACCGCAAGGGUCCGUGGCUUCAUUCUUGAAGUCAGUUAGACCAAGAACCCACCAAUUCCGGACACAAUACUAUUGGAUGUAUGUUUGUUUGGUGUUUUCUUUGAAGACAGAAUCAGAGAGGCUCAGCAAAUGCCAGAACUCAAAUUCAAGCGCAACUCUGCCUGAUGGAAACUCAGGUGAUUUCCACUCUGCCUCCACCUGCAUUCCUCAGCACCCUGCAGUUGGUCCCCAGACUCUAUGCUCCAUGCUGCUUGUGUUUGUUGGUUGGCUGGUUUCGUGUUCAUGUGUUCUGGCUUCUUCAUUUUGGGUCUUUACAUCUUUACAUCUCUAUAGCAGUUCUUCCCAUGUUGUGUAGCAGUUGUCUCUACGUGACAGUCUGUCUUGUGAGGUCGAGUUCCCUGAAGGCAGCAAGCAUGUAAUUGGUAAAUUCUCAUCAGUUAGCCAUGUCUGGAACAUGGUAGGUAUUCAAUAAAGGUUUUUGCUCAUUUAAUCGACUGUUCAUUAGCAUUUACUGAACCUCUACUGUGUGUCCAACACCGUAGCAGGCACUGAGGAUGGAGCGGUGGAGAAAAACAGGCAACACACUCUGCACUCCAUCUAGUGUGCAGAAAACAUGCAAAUAGUCAUAUACACCAAAACACUUCACACAACACAGACACUGCUGUAACAUGCAAAUAGUCACAUAAAACACUUCACACAGCAGACUGACACACUGCUGUAACAUGCAAAUAGUCAUAUACACAUGAAAACACUUCACACAGCACCCUGACACCCUGCUAUAACAUGCAAAUAGUCAUAUACACAUGAAAACACUUCACACAGCACAGCGACACAUGGCUUUAACACGCAAAUAGUCAUAUACACAUGAAAACACACAGCACACUGACACGCUGCUAUAACAAAUAGUCAUAUACACAAAAACACUUCACACAG